RNAcentral lists this ribosomal RNA (492 nucleotides) under uncultured bacterium. Its description in RNAcentral is "partial 16S ribosomal RNA". It matches the Rfam family "Bacterial small subunit ribosomal RNA", at positions 29 to 507 of the family's 1533-position model. The record is from RNAcentral.
AGUGAACGCUGGCGGUAGGCCUAACACAUGCAAGUCGAACGGCAGCACAGUGAGAGCUUGCUCUUACGGGUGGCGAGUGGCGGACGGGUGAGGAAUACAUCGGAAUCUACUUUUUCGUGGGGGAUAACGUAGGGAAACUUACGCUAAUACCGCAUACGACCUACGGGCGAAAGCAGGGGAUCUUCGGACCUUGCGCGAUUGAAUGAGCCGAUGUCGGAUUAGCUAGUUGGCGGGGUAAAGGCCCACCAAGGCGACGAUCCGUAGCUGGUCUGAGAGGAUGAUCAGCCACACUGGAACUGAGACACGGUCCAGACUCCUACGGGAGGCAGCAGUGGGGAAUAUUGGACAAUGGGCGCAAGCCUGAUCCAGCCAUACCGCGUGGGUGAAGAAGGCCUUCGGGUUGUAAAGCCCUUUUGUUGGGAAAGAAAAGCAGCAGGUUAAUACCCCGCUGUUCUGACGGUACCCAAAGAAUAAGCACCGGCUAACUCCGUG